Panonychus citri (citrus red mite) is the source of this 2108-nucleotide long non-coding RNA. RefSeq lists it as uncharacterized. Lineage: Eukaryota; Metazoa; Arthropoda; Arachnida; Trombidiformes; Tetranychidae. The record is from RefSeq and is a predicted model, not a curated record. The transcript has 3 exons.
UGGGCUCACAGUCGUUUACAUUGGACUCACAAUGUCGACCUUCAAAUCCUUUGAUACAGUUACAUUUGUAUGAACCAUUUAAAUUCUGACAAGAUUCAGUAGUUGAUGGAAUACAAGCCUCUGAUCCUUGUGCUUAUUUUUAGAUGAGCAGUGCUGGUUCACCAACUGUUGAAAUUCAUCUCUAUCGUAAUUAAAUCUCAAUUGCUUCCUGAACAGAUCAAAUUUCACCGAAAGUUGAGAUGGUUAUUCAGAAGGAGAUUUAAAAUUAAGAUUAAGAUGAAAAAUGCUGCGAUGAAAGAUACUUAAUACUUAUCAUAAGACACAAUGAGAGAUAUUCAACUAAUUGUUACCUUCUUGACAUCGAUCACCAGUGAAUCCUGGAGGACAAAUACAUUGAUAUCCAUUAAUAAGAUCGAUACAUUUACCAUCAUUCAAACAGGGAUUAGAUGAACACUCGUUCACAUUAAUCUGACAACGAUUACCAGUCCAACCCUGAGGGCAAUUACAGAUGAACGAUGAGUUACUGACUUCGAAACACGUUCCACCAUGAAGACAUGGACUCGUUACACAUGGAUUGACCACUUAAUCGAAAGAGAGAGGAAGAAAUCAGAGGUUAAUUAAAUUAACUUUAAUUGUUAAAACGACUUUUUAAUCACUCCAAAGCAUUUGUAUGAAAAUGAUUCAUCCAAAGUGCUCAUUUAAACGCAACAAUUUAAAGGUAAACAUCUGACAUCUUUUGAUAGAAAUGAGAACGAGGAAUGAUAAUCAAAUCAAAUCCAAUGAAUCAGUUAAUCAACCAACAGAAUCUAAAUUGAUCUUCAUAACCAUUAGAUAAUAUUAGAUGAAAUUGUUUGAUAAUAUAACCAAGGAAAAGUUAUCAUUCGGCAGCCCAAAGAAAGCCAGAAAACAAGACGAAUCGGUAAAUAUUUUCAUAGGCGUAUCAAGUCAGGUCACUUUAAUGAUAUUCAAGGAAUAAAACUUGUUACAUUGAUUAUUGGAUGGAAACGGAUUUACUGAUCACCAUUGAUUGACUAACCACGAUUGUUAAUAGAAAACAAUCAACAAAUAAUCUAAUAAAUAUGGGUUACAAGUACUUUUCGUCUACUAAAUAAUAAUCAAAGGAACCAUGAAAAUCUGCUGAUUGUUAUAUUGCCUUAGGCUUCUGGUCGUAGAAACGGUUUCGCGAUCCUCCUUAAAUCGUGAUUAUAAUCUGAUCCUUAUCCUUAUCCUCAUCUUCAUCUUCAUCAUCAUCAUUAAAUUGUCUUGGUAGCAACAUAGAGAUUAAAUUAACCACGAAUUGGAUGGAAACUGUUUCUGUCAAUUGACUUGAUUGUUGGAAAAAUUUAACAUUGUCUUCAAUUACUUUUUGGUUUAGUUUUUCAAGGACAAGAUUAACUGUUGAUUAAAUACUUGUUAAUUACUUGUUACAAUCAAUAUCUGAUCAAAGUAAAGUUUUCAAUUUCCACUGUACAACAAUUUAAAUUUAAAAGGAAAACAUAACAUCCGUUUAGUGGAUUUACUAUUCAAUUAGUUAAUUGCAACUAUACUGGAUCAAGAAAAUCAUCAACGAGAAUAGUUGAUUGUUGAUAAAAUAAUCUAAAGAAAUUAUAUUAAAUAUUCAACGAUGAAUAUUAAUUAAGUGCUUCUUAAAUAACAUCAACAGUAGCCAAUUUAUCAGUAGUUUAAAUCAUUUGUAAAUCAUCAAAGUGAUCAUCAAUUUAGAGCUUCCGUUUAGAUUGAACAAUUAUCAAAUUACAAUUUAACGUAUACUAAGUUGAACAAUUAAUAUCAUGAAAUAUCAACAAACUAUUUAAUAUACAAUAUGAAUGAACAAUUGGUGAAUAUAAACUCAUCACCAUUUAAAUUAAAUUGUCAAGUCAAGUGUCGAUGGUAACAAAUUAUCAAUACACUUGAAUGCAAUUUAAUAUCCCAAUUGAAAUCGAUAUUGCAAUCAAUUGAUUAUCAUAAGAGAGCAUGAAUUAUCCCAUCUGCCGUAAUCGCAAUUAACUUAAUCACCAUAAACAAAGACACACUCCCAGAGCAAUUAAUGAAUCGCUCAAAAAAAAAAACAAAAUCAAUGAAUCAGAAUAAAUUGAUCAACUUACCGA